Long non-coding RNA from Mercenaria mercenaria, 1391 nucleotides. RefSeq lists it as uncharacterized. The transcript is spliced from 2 exons. Lineage: Eukaryota; Metazoa; Mollusca; Bivalvia; Venerida; Veneridae. The record is from RefSeq and is a predicted model, not a curated record.
UUAGUUUUUGGCAUUUUUCGAGAUGUACAUACACUACAUUUUCUACACCACUUCUUCACUGCAUCACGCACACCUAAAAGAAAAAAUUCUGUCUUAUUCUUUUCAAGGUUUUCUUAACACCUAGAUGUGAACUGGUCAGAGAGUCAUGAGAUUCCGACAAUAUAAACUUGGUCACCCAAAGCACCCCUUAUUUCUACAAUGAAAUAAUCGAUAUGAAUAAUCAGCCUAAGGUCAACCAUCGCGGUCAAGUUGUGACUACUAUAUUAAUCACCACUUGGGUUAUUUGGUAUAAAGUUAUUUAUUAUGAAGAAAAAUCUGUUCUGCAGCCUGGAUUGAUAAAGAUACAUGAUUACAGUUGAACUUGCCUUACCAGCAACCUGUAUCAAGAAGUCACUUGACUUAAGGAGCCAGUCAGCUUACUUUCUAAGUUGACUUUCUGUUCAAAUAUCAAUUAAGCAGCCACCUGUGUUAAGCAGCCAGAUUGUGUUGUACCCUUUGUUGACUGCUUAAAUACAGGUUUCACUGUGUACUAUUAUCAUAUUUCAAGUGUGCAGCAUUCCCGAUUGUUCCACUCCAGUGUACCAUGCAGAGAAAUUUGCCAGAUAUAUAGAGAAUAAUAGGUUAGUGCCAUAGAUGAGAAAGUUUAUCUGGCGAGGUGGAGGAAGUUAUUGGGUGAGCUGAUAAGUGUGCAACAACCGUUCUAAUGACGUCAUAUUCAUAAUGACGUCACUUAUAUAAUGACGUAAUCAACGACAAAAUCGCAAUAACUUCUUCGUUUUAGAGUAAAAACUCAUUAUUUGACCACUCAUUUUCUUAGUUUGGACAUUUCUACCAUAAUGGUAAUGGUUUCAAUGCAAAAUUUCUUAUAACAACAUCAAUCAUAAGGUCACAUGAUCAUCUGACCGUAUAUCACUGGUCAUGUGUCAACUGACGGUAUAUCAAGAAAGAUAUACGGCACCCUGAUAUCGGGUCGAAAAUACUGCAAGUGACAGAAUAAAUGUUGCCUCUGUCCUGUCUGUGUCUUCAGUAAAACACCAACACCAUUUUCUCCGCUGGUAUCCCAGGCACCAAAGGGUAUUUGGGCCCAACACCAAAUAGAUGUUCUAGCUUGGCACCAUCAGGGUAUUUGGGCCCAACACCAAAUAAAUGUUCCAGCCUGACACCCAUCAGGAUAUUUGGGUCCAACACGAAAUAGCUAUUCCAGCCCAAUUCCUGGAUAUUCCAGCUAAACACCCGGUUCAACAGCAAUACCAUCUUGAAGCCCAGCACCUACAGUGUGGGAAGCCCAUUGUUGGACCCAAAAUUGAAGUCAUGUCUGCAAACAUUGGUAAGCAAAGAAGGAAAUCAAGAUCUGUAUAUUUUGCAAUAAACAACAGUUGACACGCUGACCG